GCUCUGGUACUGGUACCGAGAUAUGGGCUACGCGGCUUUUUUAAAAGCUGAUGUUUCUCAACAAAAAUGGUGUCUGACAGGAGAACAUCGGUGCUCCUACCCCCAGGAUGACCCUUCCACUGUGCUCCCCCCCCCCAUGCAACCUUAGCCACUAUACCAACCAACCAAUCAGCUUCUCAAUCUCUGCAUUCUCAUCCCCGCCCAUAUUCCAGUGACCGCCCUCACAGCAGUCAGUUGAUCUCCAGAAUGUACACCAAAUUGUAGGAACUGCCAGGGAUCAAGGUCGCAUUCCUGAAGCGCAGCACCCCGGGCCAUACCAGGAUGCACAUACUUAAGAGACGUUCUGUGAUUCAAAUCGCUCCAGAUACGUGGAGAUGGCCCACCAAAGGGCAUCAAUCCUGAGGGACAGAUUAAUCAAACAACGUGCAGGUGGUACAAGAAGGCCUGGGCUCAUGAAGUCCAUAAAGACGCACAUGGUGGAGAGUAAGGCAACCCUGAAAGGUAGCAACACAAAAGAUUAGUUGCAGCAUUCGUUUGUCUCACCCCAUCAGUCUGGAAGGCAGUAUUUACCAAGAUCCCAACAUAACAAUUACCAGUACAAGAGGCCGGUUCCACGACAUUUGCUUUGGCGACAAUUGCUCCGAUAGGAAAUCUGCUUAUCAAGCCAAACAUAAAAUCUAACCUCCAAUACUUAAUAAACCAUAAUUCGUAUCUUUACAUUAUUCUGAACUCUAGUUCAAUCCUGACUCUAUCCCUGUGCCCUCUGAGAUAUUAAAACCGGAGUAAUUGUCUCAGGAGCAAAUGUUGUGUCACCAAGAAGCCUUCGGAUGAUCCCUUCUUCCUGAGCGUCAGUGGAUCUACCAUUGGGCAACCUGGGGCAAGCGUUUAACAGAGAUGGAAGAUUGGAGGAAGGAUGGGACACUUUCAACCCACCAACCUUUGUAAACCAGUGGCUAGAGAGGGGAAUAAAAGCCACAGGAGAGGGAGCCAAGCAGCGGUGCGUGCAUCAACAUGACUAGUGAAAACGAUGAAAGGGGUUGGAACAGGAUGGAAACCAACAACAUGAGCAUUAAAAACAGGAACAGAGUGCUAUCCGCAAGAGCAAAGCCCUGGAAUCCAAGGUUCAUCUGGCAGAAGUCACCAAACAGGAACAACGCAACAUGGAGCUAGAUUAUGAAGGAUUUGUCGUCAUGCUGAAGGAUGAACUCAACAAACUCAGGUCAAACGUCUGAAAGAUGCCUAGAAAUAUGCCACCAUAUCCAGUGUCAUGUCACUCAGUGCAAGACAUGGAUACACUCCUAAUCAAUGCUCGCCAUCUUCAAAGCAUUAACAUGAGAGAGAUAGUCUAUCAAAGCCAAGGACAUGACACCAAUCUUGAAAUCAUCCUCUCCAAGUAGUGUCUGGUGUGAGCAGCUAUUGGUAUUUAUGUGAUGCUAAAUAUCUAAAUGCUCUAUUAAAAAAAAAAAUUAUUAGAAAAUAUAUUUUUAAAUAUGUCUGAUGAUGACUUUGUGUAGCUCCAAGCAACAGGUCCAAGCUAUUAUCUCUUUGUUACAGUUUAAUGUAUAUUUGAAUUAUCUGUGGUUUCUUGAAUAGAUGCAUACUAUGUAUGGCUUUAUUAGUAGGAGUAAAGUGUAAGGUAGCAAAUUAUUUUUACUAUUAGGCUGAGAAUUGAGGUGGUGCGAUGAUUAAGUUUAUAUAUUUUUUUAGUUAACUUAGUUUGUAACUUUGUUUUGAUGAAGUUAGUAUUUGUGUGUAUUUUGUGUUGACAAUUCUGCAAAAGUGGAUCCAAAGGUUUUCCAGAGUUUUUCCAUCUUGUGUUUUAUCUCUGUUUUUUUACCCUGGAUCUACUUGUCGUAGAAUUGUGUAGCACCCCCCCAAAAAAAAAAAUUGUACACAAUACCCGUAUACAUACUUAUUUUUCCAUGAAUGUUACUAAUAUUUCUGUCAAAUUUCAUGAAUAAUUACACCAAGAAUGUUUAUUUUCAUUUUUUUUUUAUAAUUAGAGAUUUCAAAUUCAUAAAAUACCAUGUAGUUUGUGUUCUUAAAAUUUAACCUAUUUGAUUAGGCCUAUCAGCAACAAUCAGAGUUUGUUAUUAGCUAAUUUAACCAAUUCAUGUUCAUGUCAAAACAAUUUUAGUAUCGGCAUAUGUAAUGAAAUUUUAUAUUUUUGUUAGGAAUUAAUAAUGUCAUUAACAUCAUAAAAAAACUAUUAACAAAGGUCCAAGUAUGCUUCCUUACAGGAUAUGCUUUUUCAUCACAUGUUAUGGGCAAAAUAUUAGAUUAGAAUUAUUAUAAGAUGAAAACUAAAUCCCUCACAAAAUGUUCCACAAGUUUGGCGGAUUACAUAUUUCUUGUUACUGAACUGUUAAAAUCCAAAUCAGUAUUAUUGGUUAGCCUCAUUAUUCCUCAGUCAGGUGUCGGGUGUAAGAAGGGAAAUUGUGCAAAAUGAUUU
This is a long non-coding RNA of Lytechinus pictus (painted urchin), 2452 nucleotides long. RefSeq lists it as uncharacterized. Lineage: Eukaryota; Metazoa; Echinodermata; Echinoidea; Temnopleuroida; Toxopneustidae. The transcript is spliced from 7 exons. The record is from RefSeq and is a predicted model, not a curated record.